AAGAUACUGAAGUAAUAAAUACAUUUAGUUUCGACCUAAUUUUAGAAAAAAUUUUCCUUAUCU
This 63-nucleotide transfer RNA is filed under the name Russelliana sp. Its description in RNAcentral is "tRNA-Arg". Lineage: Eukaryota; Metazoa; Arthropoda; Insecta; Hemiptera; Psyllidae. The record is from RNAcentral.